Molecule: ribosomal RNA, 163 nt
Filed under: Catapodium rigidum
Lineage: Eukaryota; Viridiplantae; Streptophyta; Magnoliopsida; Poales; Poaceae
Also listed under: 4 other names
Description: 5.8S ribosomal RNA
Rfam family: 5.8S ribosomal RNA
About the family: 5.8S ribosomal RNA (5.8S rRNA) is a component of the large subunit of the eukaryotic ribosome. It is transcribed by RNA polymerase I as part of the 45S precursor that also contains 18S and 28S rRNA.
Source: RNAcentral
ACACGACUCUCGGCAACGGAUAUCUCGGCUCUCGCAUCGAUGAAGAACGUAGCGAAAUGCGAUACCUGGUGUGAAUUGCAGAAUCCCGCGAACCAUCGAGUCUUUGAACGCAAGUUGCGCCCGAGGCCUUUUGGCUAAGGGCACGCCUGCCUGGGCGUCACGC